This is a non-coding RNA of Pelobates cultripes (western spadefoot toad), 219 nucleotides long. NCBI's taxonomy places the organism in Eukaryota, Metazoa, Chordata, Amphibia, Anura, Pelobatidae. The record is from the annotation of a GenBank genome assembly.
CGCUUGCUUGCUUGCUGGUUUUGACUACAAUCUAAAUCAGAGUCACUGGUGAAAUAGAAAAUCUGGAAGCAAUUAAUACAUUUGUAAGAUGUUCACAUAUAAAGGGACUGGACAUGUUUAUAGAGAAUUGGUUAAUAGAGGUGUAGGACUAAAUAUGAAAUUAUAGUACAUAGGUAGUGCUUGGUCAAAAUAAGUCAAUCCGUUUAUGCAUCUUUAAAG